This 254-nucleotide ribosomal RNA is filed under the name uncultured bacterium. RNAcentral's name for it is "partial 16S ribosomal RNA". It matches the Rfam family "Bacterial small subunit ribosomal RNA", at positions 524 to 775 of the family's 1533-position model. The record is from RNAcentral.
GACAGAGGGUGCAAACGUUGCUCGGAAUCACUGGGCGUAAAGCGCACGUAGGCGGAUUCCUAAGUCGGUGGUGAAAUCCUGGAGCUCAACUCCAGAACUGCCUCCGAUACUGAGAGUCUUCGAGUCCGGGAGAGGUGAGUGGAACUGCCGAGUGUAGAGGUGAAAUUCGUAGAUAUUCGCAAGAACACCAGUGGCGAAGGCGGCUCACUGGCCCGGUACUGACGCUGAGGUGCGAAAGCGUGGGGAGCAACAGG